Molecule: transfer RNA, 69 nt
Filed under: Ictidomys tridecemlineatus (thirteen-lined ground squirrel)
Lineage: Eukaryota; Metazoa; Chordata; Mammalia; Rodentia; Sciuridae
Also listed under: 1 other name
Description: Spermophilus tridecemlineatus (thirteen-lined ground squirrel) tRNA
Rfam family: tRNA
About the family: Transfer RNA (tRNA) molecules are approximately 80 nucleotides in length. Their secondary structure includes four short double-helical elements and three loops (D, anti-codon, and T loops).
Source: Rfam by way of RNAcentral
GGGAGUGCAACUCAGUGGUAGAGCAUGUGAUUAGCAUUCUCAAGGCCCUGGGUUCAAGCCCCAGCACCA